UACGGGGGGGGUAAGCGUUGUUCGGAAUUACUGGGCGUAAAGGGCUCGUAGGCGGCCAACUAAGUCGGACGUGAAAUCCCUCAGCUUAACUGGGGAACUGCGUCUGAUACUGGAUGGCUUGGAUUCGGGAGAGGAAUGCGGAAUUCCAGGUGUAGCGGUGAAAUGCGUAGAUAUCUGGAGGAACACCGGUGGCGAAGGCGGCAUUCUGGACCGACAUUGACGCUGAGGAGCGAAAGCCAGGGGAGCAAACGGG
This 253-nucleotide ribosomal RNA is filed under the name uncultured bacterium. RNAcentral describes it as "partial 16S ribosomal RNA". It matches the Rfam family "Bacterial small subunit ribosomal RNA", at positions 524 to 776 of the family's 1533-position model. The record is from RNAcentral.